This 1132-nucleotide ribosomal RNA is filed under the name Acinetobacter gandensis. Its description in RNAcentral is "bacterial SSU rRNA". It matches the Rfam family "Bacterial small subunit ribosomal RNA", at positions 328 to 1453 of the family's 1533-position model. Lineage: Bacteria; Pseudomonadati; Pseudomonadota; Gammaproteobacteria; Moraxellales; Moraxellaceae. The record is from RNAcentral.
GGCCCAGACUCCUACGGGAGGCAGCAGUGGGAAUAUUGGACAAUGGGGGCAACCCUGAUCCAGCCAUGCCGCGUGGUGAAGAAGGCCUUUUGGUUGUAAAGCACUUUAAGCGAGGAGGAGGAGCUCUAGAUUAAUACUCUAGAUGCUUGGACGUUACUCGCAGAAUAAGCACCGGCUAACUCUGUGCCAGCAGCCGCGGUAAUACAGAGGGUGCGAGCGUUAAUCGGAUUUACUGGGCGUAAAGCGUACGUAGGCGGCUUUUUAAGUCGGAUGUGAAAUCCCUGAGCUUAACUUAGGAAUUGCAUUCGAUACUGGGAAGCUAGAGUAUGGGAGAGGAUGGUAGAAUUCCAGGUGUAGCGGUGAAAUGCGUAGAGAUCUGGAGGAAUACCGAUGGCGAAGGCAGCCAUCUGGCCUAAUACUGACGCUGAGGUACGAAAGCAUGGGGAGCAAACAGGAUUAGAUACCCUGGUAGUCCAUGCCGUAAACGAUGUCUACUAGCCGUUGGGGCCUUUGAGGCUUUAGUGGCGCAGCUAACGCGAUAAGUAGACCGCCUGGGGAGUACGGUCGCAAGACUAAAACUCAAAUGAAUUGACGGGGGCCCGCACAAGCGGUGGAGCAUGUGGUUUAAUUCGAUGCAACGCGAAGAACCUUACCUGGUCUUGACAUAGUAAGAACUUUCCAGAGAUGGAUUGGUGCCUUCGGGAACUUACAUACAGGUGCUGCAUGGCUGUCGUCAGCUCGUGUCGUGAGAUGUUGGGUUAAGUCCCGCAACGAGCGCAACCCUUUUCCUUAUUUGCCAGCGGGUUAAGCCGGGAACUUUAAGGAUACUGCCAGUGACAAACUGGAGGAAGGCGGGGACGACGUCAAGUCAUCAUGGCCCUUACGACCAGGGCUACACACGUGCUACAAUGGUCGGUACAAAGGGUUGCUACUCCGCGAGGAGAUGCUAAUCUCAAAAAGCCGAUCGUAGUCCGGAUCGCAGUCUGCAACUCGACUGCGUGAAGUCGGAAUCGCUAGUAAUCGCGGAUCAGAAUGCCGCGGUGAAUACGUUCCCGGGCCUUGUACACACCGCCCGUCACACCAUGGGAGUUUGUUGCACCAGAAGUAGGUAGUCUAACCGUAAGGAGGACGC